Molecule: ribosomal RNA, 913 nt
Filed under: uncultured archaeon
Lineage: Archaea
Description: bacterial SSU rRNA
Rfam family: Archaeal small subunit ribosomal RNA
Source: RNAcentral
UUCCGGUUGAUCCUGCCGGACCGACUGCUAUCGGAUUGAUACUAAGCCAUGCGAGUCAUUGUAGCAAUACAAGGCAGACGGCUCAGUAACGCGUAGUCAACCUAACCUAUGGACGGGAAUAACCUCGGGAAACUGAGAAUAAUGCCCGAUAGAACACUAUACCUGGAAUGGUUUGUGUUCCAAAUGAUUUAUCGCCGUAGGAUGGGACUGCGGCCUAUCAGUUUGUUGGUGAGGUAAUGGCCCACCAAGACUAUUACAGGUACGGGCUCUGAGAGGAGUAGCCCGGAGAUGGGUACUGAGACACGGACCCAGGCCCUAUGGGGCGCAGCAGGCGAGAAAACUUUGCAAUGUGCGAAAGCACGACAAGGUUAAUCCGAGUGGUUUCUGCUAAAGGAACCUUUUGUUAGUCCUAGAAACACUAACGAAUAAGGGGUGGGCAAGUUCUGGUGUCAGCCGCCGCGGUAAAACCAGCACCUCAAGUGGUCAGGAUGAUUAUUGGGCCUAAAGCAUCCGUAGCCGGCUCUGUAAGUUUUCGGUUAAAUCUGUACGCUCAACGUACAGGCUGCCGGGAAUACUGCAGAGCUAGGGAGUGGGAGAGGUAGACGGUACUCGGUAGGAAGGGGUAAAAUCCUUUGAUCUAUUGAUGACCACCUGUGGCGAAGGCGGUCUACCAGAACACGUCCGACGGUGAGGGAUGAAAGCUGGGGGAGCAAACCGGAUUAGAUACCCGGGUAGUCCCAGCUGUAAACUAUGCAAACUCAGUGAUGCAUUGGCUUGUGGCCAAUGCAGUGCUGCAGGGAAGCCGUUAAGUUUGCCGCCUGGGAAGUACGUACGCAAGUAUGAAACUUAAAGGAAUUGGCGGGGGAGCACCACAAGGGGUGAAGCCUGCGGUUCAAUUGGAGUCAACGCCGGG